RNAcentral lists this ribosomal RNA (279 nucleotides) under uncultured bacterium. RNAcentral's name for it is "partial 16S ribosomal RNA". It matches the Rfam family "Bacterial small subunit ribosomal RNA", at positions 506 to 784 of the family's 1533-position model. The record is from RNAcentral.
UGCCAGCAGCCGCGGUAAUACGGAGGGUGCAAGCGUUAUCCGGAUUUAUUGGGUUUAAAGGGUGCGCAGGCGGAUUAGUAAGUCAGUGGUGAAAGCCCGGGGCUCAACCCCGGAACUGCCAUUGAUACUGCUUCUCUUGAAUAUAGUUGAGGUGGGCGGAAUGUGUCAUGUAGAGGUGAAAUUCAUAGAUAUGACACAGAACACCGAUUGCGAAGGCAGUUCGCUAAACUAUUAUUGACGCUCAGGCACGAAAGCGUGGGGAGCAAACAGGAUUAGAUA